Molecule: ribosomal RNA, 440 nt
Filed under: uncultured bacterium
Lineage: Bacteria
Description: partial 16S ribosomal RNA
Rfam family: Bacterial small subunit ribosomal RNA
Source: RNAcentral
ACUACGGGUGGCAGCAGUGGGGGAUAUUGCACAAUGGGGGGAACCCUGAUGCAGCGACGCCGCGUGGGUGAAGAAGCGCCUCGGCGCGUAAAGCCCUGUCAGCAGGGAAGAAAAUGACGGUACCUGAAGAAGAAGCCCCGGCUAACUACGUGCCAGCAGCCGCGGUAAUACGUAGGGGGCAAGCGUUAUCCGGAUUUACUGGGUGUAAAGGGGGCGGAGACGGGGAUGCAAGACAGGAGUGAAAGCCCGGGGCCCAACCCCGGGACUGCUCGUGGAACUGCGUGGCUGGAGUGCAGGAGGGGCAGGCGGAAUGCCUGGUGUAGCGGUGAAAUGCGUAGAUAUCAGGAGGAACACCGGUGGCGAAGGCGGCCUGCUGGACUGCAACUGACGUUGAGGCCCGAAAGCGUGGGGAGCAAACAGGAUUAGAUACCCGAGUAGUC